CAUUAGCUCCCCAUUGCUCCCUGAUGUCUUCGUUCUCGCCUCUCUCUAUCCCUCUAUUGACACUACCACUUCAGAUUCAGAAAUUACGAUAAGAAAAUUAGAAAAUCCAAAGAUCGAAUAUCAAAACUCGAAAUCAAACUCAAAAACUCUCAUCAUUACCCUAAUUUUGAUAACCUAAAAUCCUCUAGGUUGGCUAUAAGAAAUCUCCAAAUCUUUUCACAAUCGUCGUUUUACUAAUUAUUCAUCAUCAUUUCGAUAACCACCGCGAAGAAUUAGGGUAUGUAGGUUCAAUCUUUCAAUAUAUUUACCACAGUGAAGCAAUUGAAGCAAAUUCAACAAGCCGAAAGAGAGAAUACAAUCAUAGGGCAGUUUUGGAGAACAAGCAAGCAAUGGUCGUUCAAAGGAAACCAGCUAGCAAAAAGUACUAAAAUCUCUUCGUAUUUUCUUAUUUUCAUUUUGAUUCAUCAUUAAAAACCCUAUUAUAUUCUAGAUUUAUAUAAUGUGAAGUUGUAUUUCGAAUCUCUACUAGAUUUAUACAACAUGAAACUGAAUUUGCAUCUUGAUUUUCAUAUACAGAUGUGUGAAUAUCUCAUGCACAUGAAAUUUUUCUAUGAUUAGUCCACAUUAGCUAAAUGAUGUGGACUCAACAUAUUGCCUGCACAUGGUUUUGUAGUUAAUGUUAAAAAAUGAAAAAGUUAUUCAGUUCCCCUGCACAUACCUUAAAAAUGUUGUCUGUUUAAUUGUUAGUUAACAAUGUUAAAUAUUCUUUUUUCCUUGGAGGCGGUGGUGCAAAAUCAAUAUAGAUACUUAGGAUUGAAAAGUUGGACUACAAAACUUGAUAGUUGAACUAAUGAAAAAAAGUGAUCAAAGUAACAAUAUGUGUUUGUGGAUAUAUCCUACACAGAAUGAUGUUUCGAGUUCGUUUUAUUAGUUAGUAAGUCGAAACAUGCAUCUAUAUGUGUUUCUAUUCGUUUGUCUUAUUUCCUGUAAUAUGACUCAUGGUGUUAUGUUUUUCGAGGAAUUUAUACAUCCUUGAAAGUUGUCUUGCCCAAAUUCGAGCACGUAGAGAGUACAAAAAAUGUACUUACCCUGGUCUUAAAGGAUUAGCAUUAAACAUUGGUCUGCUCAUGUAUUGAAUGUCUACACGCGUGGCCUUGCAAUUAACUUGUUGCCUAUUCGGAACGUAAUGGAUAUGGAUACUGGUUAUGGAAGAUAAGUCACUUAUGAUAUCCAGAAGGGUUGCUUCAUCACAGAACACCUUAUCUAUUACGCUAUCCAACAUUCAAAAAGCUCUUAAAAGCAGUAUUGGACGACAGGGAAAAGCUCGCUAUGUCGUACUGAUAGGUACUGGUGGUAAUGGUUGUUCUUUGUUGAUGUCUUUCAAAGAAUAUUGCAUUUGUUCCCUCGAAUUAUGGUGUUUUGACGAGGUUAAUAUGUCUCUCUUUACUUAUUCGAAGGAUUUAGAAUCCCCGUAGUGAUCUUGCAUAUGUUCUAAUUUGCUAGAUCUCACUUCCUAUAGGUGAAACCUGUUAGAGAUUCAGUAUCUCAAGCGUUGCAUGACUGGAAAAAUCCUUCAAGGUUUUUUUGUGUGCAGAUAUUUUUUUUCAAAGAGAUCUUUUUUGCUGAGAUUUAUCAUAUGUGAAUAUGAGUGCAGGUAUUAUCCACACUGAAAUUUGUGUGCAGAUAUUAUGUACAGUGUUUUUAUACAUAAAUUUAUUUGGAUGUUUUCUACAAAGACUUUUUUUUCCCUUUGGAAUCAAGAUGCCAAAGAAGAUAAUGAUUCUGUGUACAAGUUUCCUACAACAACCGAUCUUGAAGAAAGAUGGAUUUUUAGUUUCAGAAACUUGUACGCACAUAUGAGCAGGUAGUAUCUACACUCUCGUUUUUGUGUGCAGGUAUUAUCCACACUAAUAUACGUUUUUGUGUGCAGGCAUGAUCCACACUAACAUUUUUGUGUGCAGGUAUUAUGUACAGUCUUUUUAUAGAUUUUAGGUGGGUUCCGUUUGUGCAUGCUUACCAUUGGCAUUUGGAUAGAAACAUGAAAAGUGCACCUUUAAUGAUUUGAAUAGUUCAAUUCACUUACAAAUUCAUAUAUCAAUCAGAAACGGAGAGUUUACAAGUAUGACAUAACAUACUAAAAUUUGUGUGCAAAUAUUAUGUAUAGUGUUUUUAUACAUAAAUUUAUUUGGAUGUUUUCUACAGAGACUUUCUUUUUUCCUUUGGAAUCAAGAUGCCAAAGAAGAUAAUGAUUUUGUGUACAAGUUUUCGACAGCAACCGAUCUUGAAGAAAGAUGGAUUUUUAGUUUCAGAAAUUUGUAUGUACAUAUGAGCAGGUAGUAUCUACACUCUCGUUUUUGUGUGCAGGUAUUAUCCACACUAAUAAACGUUUUUGUGUGCAGGUAUGAUCCAUACUAACAUUUUUGUGUGCAGGUAUUAUGUACAGUCUUUUUAUAGAUUUUAGGUGGGUUCUGUUUGUGCAUGCUUACCAUUGGCAUUUGGAUAGAAACAUGAAAGUGCACCUUUAAUGAUUUGAAUAGUUCAAUUCACUUACAAAUUCAUAUAUCAAUCAGAAACGGAGAGUUUACAAGUAUGACAUAACAUACUAAAAUUUGUGUGCAGAUAUUAUGUACAGUGUUUUUAUACAUAAAUUUAUUUGGAUGUUUUCUACAGAGACUUUCUUUUUGCCUUUGGAAUCAAGAUGCCAAAGAAGAUAAUGAUUUUGUAUACAAGUUUCCGACAGCAACCGAUCUUGAAGAAAGAUGGAUUUUUAGUUUCAGAAAUUUGUAUGUUCAUAUGAGCAGGUAGUAUCUACACUCUCGUUUUUGUGUGCAGUUCGAAUUUGAGUUGAGACAGGGUUCUACUAGGAGAAUUAGCGGAACAAGAAUAAAAAAACUAUUGGAAGAAGAGUUGAAAAAGUGAAUGGAUUCUGGACGACGUUCUCCCAAUGUCAUUGCACUGGUUAAGGACUAAUAAUAAAGAGAGACGGGACUCCAAGGAUAUCUAUGAAGUCUUUGAAACAUCGCAAGCAGUGAACAUGGAACUCAACAAGUCCCAAGAAAACAACAUCAAAUGUAAAUGAUGCUAAAAUGGAAUAUAGAAGGCAGAAGUUCGUGGAUGCCAAGCGCCUCUCUAUUGAUGAUGUAUUGAAUUAGAAUCAAGCAGUUGCUAAGGUCGAAGAUCCACCAUAGAAAUUCACCAUCCCAACAAGAUUUUAUCAUAAACUACUUUGUUGAUCUUCUUUUUCAUCACAGUCCUCUGUUUCCCAAAUAGAAUGUGUGAAUAUCUUCUACACAAUUUGAAUUUCUACAUAUUUUCUAAGCUGGAGAAAUUCUUCAUAUGUAGUUCUAUGACAACAAGAAUCCAUAGAGUUGUUAAUGUUUGAUAUAUGUGCAUAUUUUUCUGGCACUUGAGCAUGUUCAUAUUAUUAUUAUUUUUGGAAGAUUGAAUUUGUA
Papaver somniferum (opium poppy) is the source of this 3452-nucleotide long non-coding RNA. RefSeq lists it as uncharacterized. Lineage: Eukaryota; Viridiplantae; Streptophyta; Magnoliopsida; Ranunculales; Papaveraceae. The transcript has 2 exons. The record is from RefSeq and is a predicted model, not a curated record.